This 729-nucleotide ribosomal RNA is filed under the name Vibrio sp. FCH-35. RNAcentral's name for it is "bacterial SSU rRNA". It matches the Rfam family "Bacterial small subunit ribosomal RNA", at positions 48 to 782 of the family's 1533-position model. Lineage: Bacteria; Pseudomonadati; Pseudomonadota; Gammaproteobacteria; Vibrionales; Vibrionaceae. The record is from RNAcentral.
ACGACACUAACAAUCCUUCGGGUGCGUUAAUGGGCGUCGAGCGGCGGACGGGUGAGUAAUGCCUAGGAAAUUGCCUUGAUGUGGGGGAUAACCAUUGGAAACGAUGGCUAAUACCGCAUAAUGCCUACGGGCCAAAGAGGGGGACCUUCGGGCCUCUCGCGUCAAGAUAUGCCUAGGUGGGAUUAGCUAGUUGGUGAGGUAAUGGCUCACCAAGGCGACGAUCCCUAGCUGGUCUGAGAGGAUGAUCAGCCACACUGGAACUGAGACACGGUCCAGACUCCUACGGGAGGCAGCAGUGGGGAAUAUUGCACAAUGGGCGAAAGCCUGAUGCAGCCAUGCCGCGUGUAUGAAGAAGGCCUUCGGGUUGUAAAGUACUUUCAGUUGUGAGGAAGGGGGUAGCGUUAAUAGCGCUAUCUCUUGACGUUAGCAACAGAAGAAGCACCGGCUAACUCCGUGCCAGCAGCCGCGGUAAUACGGAGGGUGCGAGCGUUAAUCGGAAUUACUGGGCGUAAAGCGCAUGCAGGUGGUUCAUUAAGUCAGAUGUGAAAGCCCGGGGCUCAACCUCGGAACUGCAUUUGAAACUGGUGAACUAGAGUACUGUAGAGGGGGGUAGAAUUUCAGGUGUAGCGGUGAAAUGCGUAGAGAUCUGAAGGAAUACCAGUGGCGAAGGCGGCCCCUGGACAGAUACUGACACUCAGAUGCGAAGCGUGGGGAGCAAACAGGAUUAGA